RNAcentral lists this ribosomal RNA (462 nucleotides) under uncultured Anaerolineaceae bacterium. RNAcentral's name for it is "bacterial SSU rRNA". It matches the Rfam family "Bacterial small subunit ribosomal RNA", at positions 906 to 1382 of the family's 1533-position model. The record is from RNAcentral. Lineage: Bacteria; Bacillati; Chloroflexota; Anaerolineae; Anaerolineales; Anaerolineaceae.
GGAAUUGAGGGGACCCGCACAAGCAGCGGAGCGUGUGGUUUAAUCCGUUGCUACACGAAGAACCUUACCUGGGUUUGACAUAUAGGUUGUAGGGAACUGAAAAGGGACCGACCCUUCGGGGAGCCUAUACAGGUGUUGCAUGGCUGUCGUCAGCUCGUGUCGUGAGAUGUUCGGUUAAGUCCGCUAACGAGCGCAACCCUCGUCGUAUGUUAUAUGUGUCAUACGAGACUGCCGGUAAAAAGCCGGAGGAAGGUGAGGAUGAUGUCAAGUCAGCAUGACCUUUAUAUCCAGGGCUACACACACGCUACAAUGGUCUGUACAAUGGGUAGCCAAGCCGCGAGGCGGAGCCAAUCCUGAAAGCAGGCCUCAGUUCAGAUUGCAGUCUGCAACUCGACUGCAUGAAGCCGGAGUUGCUAGUAACCGCAGGUCAGCCAUACUGCGUUGAAUACGUUCCCGGGGCUU